RNAcentral lists this transfer RNA (75 nucleotides) under Verrucosispora sp. WMMC514. Its description in RNAcentral is "tRNA-Asp". It matches the Rfam family "tRNA". From Rfam's summary of the family: Transfer RNA (tRNA) molecules are approximately 80 nucleotides in length. Their secondary structure includes four short double-helical elements and three loops (D, anti-codon, and T loops). Further hydrogen bonds mediate the characteristic L-shaped molecular structure. tRNAs have two regions of fundamental functional importance: the anti-codon, which is responsible for specific mRNA codon recognition, and the 3' end, to which the tRNAs corresponding amino acid is attached (by aminoacyl-tRNA synthetases). tRNAs cope with the degeneracy of the genetic code in two manners: having more than one tRNA (with a specific anti-codon) for a particular amino acid; and 'wobble' base-pairing, i.e. permitting non-standard base-pairing at the 3rd anti-codon position. The record is from RNAcentral. Lineage: Bacteria; Bacillati; Actinomycetota; Actinomycetes; Micromonosporales; Micromonosporaceae.
GCCCUGUCGGUCCAGUCAGGAGUGGACGCCGGAUUGUCAAUCCGGAGAUCGCCGGUUCGAGUCCGGUACGGGGCG